GGGGCCGUGUAGCAGCCCCGGCAGCAGAGGGGCAGCGGCGGAGCCGGAGCGGAGCCGGUGCAGAAGUGCCCAGUUGGAGAUGGCUCACAGAAGCUUCUGUUUGUGCAGGAAGUCACCUACUGAUGUCACGGCUUCUUCAGUUGUACCAGCACAGCUGGACACAAAGGCAGUGGGCAUCCCUGAUGACCUGGCAUGGGAAAACCACUGGGUUAUGGGUGUCAGCCAUGGGGACAUGGGUGACAUGGGGUGUCAGCGAUGACCACCUGGAAAAGCACCUUCCUCAAAUAACUGCCAGGAGACUGAAUUCGUCAAAAGGGCAGUAGCAUGAAAACAUCGCAUGUAAGAUACAGUUGGCUUCCCAGUGGUGAGUUGAGUGCCUUCACAGGCUCACCACAAAGAGGAACUGGAGUUAGCUUGAUGGUUUUGUCAGCUCCUGUGUGCUGCUCACCUCACCAAUGCUGCUGCCAGCUGUGUUACGCUUUUUUUUUUUCCUGUUGGCCUCAGAGAGAACAGAAAUUGCCCUAAGCUUUUUAUUUUUAUUUAGUAGUAUGGUGUUACACCCAAAGAGCUCUUUCCAGAACACCUUGUCUUUUCCUCUCCUGUACAGGGAGUCGCUUUUUUCGAUAAGGUUAAAUUUAUUUGACAUAAAAUUAGGCCAGCCAGUUGUUUGUGCCAAAGCAUGAAUUCUUGGCGGAGAGAGGUCAUCGUUAUGUCUUUGUUUUGUAGCUGCUUUUAAUUGAACUUUUUCAUUUUGAAAUAAUUAAGUAGCAAGACUUGGCCAUUUGGCUAGCUGCUUUGCCUUGUGUUUGUCUUUUUGGUGUGUUUUCUGAAAACGAGCAACAAAUGCAACGUUUGUUUUGUCAGCCAUGGAAAGAUUGACUGGAACAACCUGCAGUAUGAAGUUAUGAUGGGGCAGGACAUUCCCAUGUCUUUAAGGCACCGGUGGUCUCUGCCUUUCUGUUUCUGUGUCACGUUCUCCUCUCGCCCCAUAACAACCCAGGAGGACGUUGAAAAUCCUGUUUGCACCACAAACAAGGUGAGGCAGCCACAGCAGGAGCUUUGCCUCUGUGUGCCGCUGUCCUGCCUGUGUGAUGGCUGCUCCCGUGGUUUCUCCGAGGGAGGCGUUCUCCAGCAGAAGAGGACUACCCACCUCUGCCCUGCCCAGUGGUCUAUGGAGCAGGGUUGCGUUUCUGCCCAUCGCUGUGCCUCCUCAUCCCACGGAAGAGCUUCCUCGAGAUCCAGCUUCCCAGCAGGUUCCCUUCUGCAAAGGGCUGCAGGGUUGUUUACUGGAGUCUGCACCAGGAACCAAGGGCACGUACAUAAAGGCACGUCAGAUAAGGCAUUACUUGCUGGUUGAAGGCUAUUCACGUUCAGGAUCUUUCAGCUCUUCUAGUCCUUUCUACAGAGAAUCGAUGUCCAAAUGCAUCGGAGGGUGGUCUUUUCUGCUGUGUCUUAUUUGGGACUUCUUUGUGCUUUCUGCAAAUGGAACAUGGAACCUGGAACGUGGGAAUCACAUCUUUAUUUUAAUUGCCAGUUUCAGCAGUUAAAAUCAUAUGCAGAGCAAAUUCUGCACUCAAUCAGAUGUGAACAAUGCAGCGUCCCUGUGGGUUUUCUGGACAUCACUGGUUGGUCCAAAGUGGUGUGCUGGUUUUGGUGAAUUAGGAGCAGAGUCAGCAUCUGACUGAGUCCCAAACAUCUGCAGGUACAGGAUAAGACUGAGACCUGCCCUCCAUCCUCCGACGGUGCCUUCAAAACACCCCAGGCAGGGAAGGAGGCCAUUCCUGAGAAGAAAAAGAAAGAUGACAAGUGCUCUGGGUGGUUGAUCAAGGCAGGGUUUCACCGCCUGUGCACGUCGGUUUCAGGUGCCGUAUUCUCACUCAGGACUUGUUGCAGUCUGAACUCAUCUUCAUCAUAUGAGGAUCAUAUGAGGUAUCCUCCAUUAGGGACACUUUGCUCUGACAGGCGUCCUGCUGUGCAUUGCAGCAGUUCGGAACUGAAUAAUUUAUUUUGGAAGCACGUUUUGUACAUGACUUAGAAAAUGGAAGAGAACAGGGAUAUUGCAACAGUGAGCUGUGGACAAAUAUGUUCUUCCUUAUAGUUUCUAAGCAUUGCACUUUGCCAUCCAUUGUUUCAAAAUUGUUUUCUCUCUCAUAAUUAUCUUCAAAAGAGAAGGUCGAUCCAAAGUGGCUGUUGUUUUUUGGUUGUUUUUUUUUCUUUCAGGGUGGUUCAUUGAUUUCCAUUUUUAA
Molecule: long non-coding RNA, 2246 nt
Organism: Chroicocephalus ridibundus (black-headed gull)
Lineage: Eukaryota; Metazoa; Chordata; Aves; Charadriiformes; Laridae
Exons: 4
Source: RefSeq, a predicted model, not a curated record